This 112-nucleotide microRNA precursor is filed under the name Glycine max (soybean). RNAcentral describes it as "miR4359a stem-loop (gma-MIR4359a)". The stretch from base 24 to 89 matches the Rfam family "MIR4359 microRNA precursor family". Lineage: Eukaryota; Viridiplantae; Streptophyta; Magnoliopsida; Fabales; Fabaceae. The record is from miRBase by way of RNAcentral.
UAACAUCGGUUUUAUGAAAAUCAAUGUUAACGAAGUGACUCUAACAUCGGUUUUCAAGAAAAUCGAUGUUAUAGUCGAUUCGUUAACAUCGAUUUUCAGAAAACCGAUGUUA